UCAAACUUGAGAGUUUGAUCCUGGCUCAGAACGAACGCUGGCGGCAGGCCUAAUACAUGCAAGUCGAACGCCCCGCAAGGGGAGUGGCGCACGGGUGAGUAACGCGUGGGAAUGUGCCCUUAGGUGCGGAACAACGUUUGGAAACGAACGCUAAUACCGCAUAAUAUCUCCGGAUCAAAGAUUUAUCGCCUAGGGAUCAGCCCGCGUUGGAUUAGCUAGUUGGUGGGGUAACGGCCUACCAAGGCGACGAUCCAUAGCUGGUCUGAGAGGAUGAUCAGCCACACUGGGACUGAGACACGGCCCAGACUCCUACGGGAGGCAGCAGUAAGGAAUAUUGGACAAUGGGGGAAACCCUGAUCCAGCCAUGCCGCGUGAGUGAUGAAGGCCUUCGGGUUGUAAAGCUCUUUUAGGUGUGAAAAUGAUGAUGGUAGCACCAGAAAAAGCUCCGGCUAACUUCGUGCCAGCAGCCGCGGUAAUACGAAGGGAGCGAGCGUUGUUCGGAAUCACUGGGCGUAAAGCGUGCGUAGGCGGUUUUGUAAGACAGAAGUGAAAUCCUGGAGCUUAACUCCAGAAUUGCUUUUGUGACUGCAAAGCUUGAAUCCAGGAGAGGUUGGGGGAAUUCCGAGUGUAGAGGUGAAAUUCGCAGAUAUUCGGAGGAACACCAGUGGCGUAGGCGCCCAACUGGACUGGUAUUGACGCUGAGGCACGAAAGCGUGGGGAUCAAACAGGAUUAGAUACCCUGGUAGUCCACGCCGUAAACGAUGUGUGCUAGCUGUCGGGAGUCUUAGGCUUUCGGCGGCGCAGCUAACGCACUAAGCACACCGCCUGGGAAGUACGGCCGCAAGGUUAAAACUCAAAGGAAUUGACGGGGACCCGCACAAGCGGUGGAGCAUGUUGUUUAAUUCGAAGCAACGCGAAGAACCUUACCUACUCUUGUAUCCUCCUUUUGACUUUCAGAGAUGAUUGUCUUCGGUUCGGCCGGGGGAGUGACAGGUGCUGCAUGGCUGUCGUCAGCUCGUGUCGUGAGAUGUUGGGUUAAGUCCCGCAACGAGCGCAACCCUCAUCGUAUGUUGCCAUCAGGUAAUGCUGGGCACUCGUGCGAGACCGCCGGUGAUAAGCCGGAGGAAGGUGGGGACGACGUCAAGUCAUCAUGGCCCUUACGAGUAGGGCUACAAACGUGCUACAAUGGUGGUGACAGUGAGCAGCCACUCCGCAAGGAGGCGCUAAUCUCUAAAAGCCAUCUCAGUUCAGAUUGUCCUCUGCAACUCGAGGGCAUGAAGUUGGAAUCGCUAGUAAUCGUGGAUCAGCAUGCCACGGUGAAUACGUUCCCGGGUCUUGUACACACCGCCCGUCACGUCAUGGGAGUUGGUUCUACCUGAAGGCGGUACGCUAACCUAUGGAGGCAGCCGACCACGGUAGGGUCAGUGACUGGGACGAAGUCGUAACAAGGUAGCCGUAGGGGAACCUGCGGCUGGAUCACCUCCUUUCU
Molecule: ribosomal RNA, 1489 nt
Filed under: Micavibrio aeruginosavorus ARL-13
Lineage: Bacteria; Pseudomonadati; Bdellovibrionota; Bdellovibrionia; Bdellovibrionales; Pseudobdellovibrionaceae
Description: 16S ribosomal RNA
Rfam family: Bacterial small subunit ribosomal RNA
Source: RNAcentral